RNAcentral lists this ribosomal RNA (458 nucleotides) under Plectonemertidae sp. MCZ IZ 25174. RNAcentral's name for it is "partial 16S ribosomal RNA". It matches the Rfam family "Bacterial large subunit ribosomal RNA", at positions 1817 to 2597 of the family's 2925-position model. The record is from RNAcentral. Lineage: Eukaryota; Metazoa; Nemertea; Enopla; Monostilifera; Plectonemertidae.
AGUUUCUUGUGUUUUAAUAAGAAAUGAUUUCUGCUCAAUGAUUUUAAAUAGCCGCGGUAAUUUGACUGUGCAAAGGUAGCGUAAUCAUUUGCUUUAUAAUUGAGGGCUUGUAUGAAAGGAAACACGAGAGUUGGUCUGUCUCUUUUAAUUAAUUAGAAUUUGUUUUUAAUGUGAAGAAACAUUAAUAAAAAAAAUAGACAAGAAGACCCUUUUGAUCUUUAUUUCAUGAUAAUUUUUUUUUUAGUGAAAUUUGGUUGGGGCGACCUAGGAAAAAGAUAUCUUCCUUGAUUAUUAUGGUCCAUGAUUUGUGGUGUUUAGAAUAAGUUACCAAAGGGAUAACAGCGUAAUUUUUUUUAUGAGUUCUUAUUUAAAAAAAAGAUUGCGACCUCGAUGUUGACUUAUAUUUUCCGUUAGGUGCAGAUGCUUAAAUGGUUGGUCUGUUCGACCUUUAAAAUUUU